CCGGGGGAAGGGUAACCUGGGGUGGGCAGGUGUGCUUCCCCUCCCUCCUCCUCUGGCUCUUCACGGGAAUCCAGGGUACUCUGGGGGCUUCUGAGAAUGAUGUUGCCUUUGGGGGGCUGACUUUGGGCUUCUUGUUUGAGGUGGUGAGCAGGGUAAGGAAGAUGAGUGAAGGGGUGAGGAAGAGGAAGGAAAUUGGGAAAUAUGGGAUGUGCAAUGCAGAUUUCAUGGUUGGGGACGGAGGAUGUGGGCAGCUGGGAACAGCCCUACCUUGUUCUUCAGAGACAGACAGGUGGGGAAAGGGAAGGGACCAAGUGGAGAGGACCAUCAUUAUCCCCACUUCACAGGUUGCAGCUGGUAGAGGGUGCACUUGGAAUUUGAACCUCAACCUGUCAUAUUCCAAAGCCAAUGCCCUCCACCACCACCCCGGCUUAUCUCCCCAGGGGAAGAGGUUCCUUUCAUAACCCUCCCUGUGCCGGGGGAAUGACCUUGGACAAGACCCUUAUCCUCUCUGUCCCUCUCUGUCCCUGUCAGUAGCAUGGUGCUGGGAGUGCCUGCGUUAUGGGAUUGCUGUGAGUAUGAAAUGAAGUCCAGGCUAGGAUAUUUAAGUGCUCACCAUUAGGAUUUGAUGAUGACCAGACUUUCAUACUGGGCCAGGGGUCUUAGCCUUGAGAGCUUGUGGGUAGGGAAGGAUUCACAGAUGGCAAAACUGAGGCUCCUAGGGACCCUGCUCAGGACCUGAGCACCUGUCCCCUCAGUGACAGGGCUAUAACUUUAAAUCCCUGCCUCCCUCCCAGGCCCCGCUCCAGUCAGUGGUCUCAUUCGUGGCAGCAAACAUUCACUUGCCCAAUUAAUGGGGGAGAAGUCUACCAUGUGUGACCUUAAGAAGGGCCUAGGUUGACAAGAGCAGAAGGGCAUCCGGCUGCUGACAGUGUGAGAAGAGAUGUGGGGAGCAGAGGACCCCAAGGAGUGUGCAGGACCCCCAGUCCAGCUCCAGGGAGUGCACAAGGGAGGCAAGGUUGGAGGAGUGAUUGGAGCCUGAGAGCCAGGCUGAGGGAGAUUCUCAGACGUCAGCAAGGCGUAGAGGUGUCAAAGCUGAGCUCCUGGGAGGCGAACCCGGUGCAUCGCACGGGUGACAUCAUUUUCAGUGUCAACUUUUUGGCUUUGCACUGGGGAUUAUCAAAGGGGGUCCUGUCAACCUCUGUUGUUCUUUAUAUCAGGCCUUUGUUUAUUUCCUUCUUAGCUCUUAUUUGAGGUGGUUUGUAAUAGUUGUA
Pipistrellus kuhlii (Kuhl's pipistrelle) is the source of this 1271-nucleotide long non-coding RNA. RefSeq lists it as uncharacterized. NCBI's taxonomy places the organism in Eukaryota, Metazoa, Chordata, Mammalia, Chiroptera, Vespertilionidae. The record is from RefSeq and is a predicted model, not a curated record. The transcript is spliced from 3 exons.